UGUCCGUGACGUCAUACAACCGCGCCGGCGUCGCUGAGGCGUGUCCUUCCGGGGGGCCCCAGAGCUCUACCAGAAGCGUCUGGGGAGAAUGUUUGCGGGGGAGUGUGGAUGUUCCUCGAAUGAGAGACAUCUGAGGGAGGACGCAGCCGGCCUGCUCUGUCCUAGGGCAGUGGUGGGCGGUGCGGUGCGAUCUGGGCGGUCCCCGGAGCCUGGAGCGUCUAUGAAGUCCUAGGGUGGACUGGGUUCCUGCACAAGGAGUGUCAAGCUAGUCAUUGCCAUCCUGAUGUUAUUUUUACAUUGUGAGAAAGACGCUAUCACUGGGACGCCUAGAUAUUUUUUACUUAUUCCCUUUUGUUGCCCUUGUUUUAUUGCUGUAGUUGUUGUUGUUACGGAUGUCGUCGUUGUUGGAUAGGACAGAGAAGUGGAGAGAGGAGGGGAAGACAUACAACUGCAGACCUGCUUCACCGCCUGUGAAGCGACUUCACUCCAGAGGGUGAGAUACGGAAGAGACAAGAGAAACACCAGCAACACUACUCCGCUGCUUGUGAUGUUUCCCUGCUGCCGGUGGGGAGGGGAGGGUAUGAUGAGGCUUGAACCCCGCACCUCGCUCUGAAUAAAUGUAAGGAGCCACUGCCUGUCCCCGACUCUUUCAUUUUUUUUAAUAUUUAUUUUUUUAAAUAUUAUUUAUUCCCUUUUGUUGCCCUU
Molecule: long non-coding RNA, 705 nt
Organism: Erinaceus europaeus (western European hedgehog)
Lineage: Eukaryota; Metazoa; Chordata; Mammalia; Eulipotyphla; Erinaceidae
Exons: 2
Source: RefSeq, a predicted model, not a curated record